GGCUGCGUAGCUCAACUGAAUAGAGUACCUCACUACGGAUGAGGGGGUUUUAGGUUUGAAUCCUAACGCGGUCACCA
RNAcentral lists this transfer RNA (77 nucleotides) under Chitinophagaceae bacterium. RNAcentral describes it as "tRNA-Arg". It matches the Rfam family "tRNA". From Rfam's summary of the family: Transfer RNA (tRNA) molecules are approximately 80 nucleotides in length. Their secondary structure includes four short double-helical elements and three loops (D, anti-codon, and T loops). Further hydrogen bonds mediate the characteristic L-shaped molecular structure. tRNAs have two regions of fundamental functional importance: the anti-codon, which is responsible for specific mRNA codon recognition, and the 3' end, to which the tRNAs corresponding amino acid is attached (by aminoacyl-tRNA synthetases). tRNAs cope with the degeneracy of the genetic code in two manners: having more than one tRNA (with a specific anti-codon) for a particular amino acid; and 'wobble' base-pairing, i.e. permitting non-standard base-pairing at the 3rd anti-codon position. Lineage: Bacteria; Pseudomonadati; Bacteroidota; Chitinophagia; Chitinophagales; Chitinophagaceae. RNAcentral also lists the same sequence under 4 other names. The record is from RNAcentral.